GGGAAACCAGCUCCAAGGAGGAGAAUAGAUUGUUCCAAGGCAAACUGGACGUGAGUGGAUGGGCCUCUUCAAAGUGACCUGCAUUAUAAGUAAUCAUGGAAAACAAAUGAGACAGCGUUUAAGAAAACAACUGGACAUUGAAGAGUAUAAUCUCAUUUAAGAUACUAGAAAGAAAAUUAAAAGGCCAGAGAUCAGAGCAGAAAAUGCUAAUUCAAAGGCUGAGCAUGGCAUGGUUUGAAGCUUUUGUCGGCCUGGCGAGAUGGUUUGGAAUUCGAUGGUUUAUUCAAGGGGUUUCUUCUGCCUAUGCAGGUUUUAAUUCUUAAAGGUCAAUCCAAGAAGCUUUGCAGCUUUACAUAUCUGGCCACCCAGAGGACAGUUUUCAGGUCUUGAAGAGACCUGUUGGGAUAAACACAUUCAAGAUAAUAGCAUUGGAGCAGGACAAAAGCAACAUCAUUGUGAAAAUGCCUUCAACCUGAAACAUUCUGAUGGAACUAUGCAUGAACAAUGGACACAAAACUGCCUAAUGUGGUAUGUAAAGAUAGCAAUAACCCUUAAUGGCAACUGUAAAAUGAAGCAUUAUGUUAGCCAGCAGAAAGGAAAAUGCAAAUUGAUUCUCUUUUUGUUUAGGUGUAAGUGCUUAUCAAGGUUAGUAGGUAUUCAAGGUCUGCGACACCAGAAUAAUUUGUUUUGUUAUAAUACAUGUAAAAGAAGAGCACUUGGGGCUUUCUGAGUGACUCAGAUGGCCAGAUAAAAUUGCACAGCCUGGGAUUUAACAAUCUUCUCUCAACAUAUCUCCUACUCUCUCUGAUGGAAGGGAAGGAGAUUCGGAACUGAAACGCUUUCAAAAGUGAGAUGGUAGAAUUAAUCGUUAUAAUGGAUGAUAGCUGGUAAUAUUUCAUCCCUCAGUGAGAUUACAGAAUUGACACUUGCAUUUUUACUUGAACUAUGUCAUAGCUGCCUAAUAAGCAAAGGCUUUCCAAGCUCCUUGUCUCCGGUACCUGGACAUUGGCAAGAUGUUCGUUCUUGAUUCUCUCCAAUCACAGAGGUUCAUUGGACAGAGAGAUUAGGGUGUAUGCGAAUCAGUUUGGCUGGACUAUAAACCAUACAUAGCUCAACCACCAGAUCUCCAUCACUACCAGAUCUAAAGUCUAUAGAACCCUUUCUUCUGGCCCUGUUGCCACCCUUGAAUAACAGCUUAAUCUAUGGAUGCUGUCAUGGAAUGACACCUAUUGUUGGAUGAAGCAGUUUUUGGCAAUGCCUUGAUGCAUCUCUAUCCAGAUGGUGGCUCAGGAAGAGGGAAGCUGGGAGGGCAGAAGGAAUCACACUGAUGGGCAAACCUUUUCAUUUGGAAAACUGAGCCACUGUGAGAGCUACCGAAUGUCUUCUUUGAAUACAACUUAUCUCUAAUGACAAAGCUAGUUUAUGAAGAUGUUGGCAAUGCUCAGAAUUCUCUUUGAGCUGUUAGGUAGAUGCAAAAUGCAACUGGUUGUUCUUAAGCUCAUUAAUGAAACAGACAAAGCCAGCUCCAUAUGUGUGAACUUAAAUGCAGAAAUGGAUACAUCUCCCCAAUUCUUAAGAUUUUGGUUAUUAGGAUCUUGCUUUGGGUAAAUUACUGAGCGAAAUCAUCUUUAUAAACAAUUGGGCCUUUUAUAGGCCCAACUUGGUGAGUGGUAGAAUGAUGGAAUUAGCUAGUUAUUUACUACUCCAUGGCAUUGUAUAGGAGUGAUACCAAAAACAUGCAUGAUAUAGUCACUUUCCUCAGGGAACUUAAAAUCUAAUUUUUGGCUGGAUGGUUUCUGUCCUCUCAUGCAAUUGCUCUUAAAAUAAAUAGGGCAUUUUUUUUUUUCUCUUGGGAAUUCAUCAUUAUCUGUCAAGGGAAAAUAAAUCACCAAGAAGAUUUAUACUGAUUAAGAAAAUAAAAGAUAAAAAUAAAACAAACUGUAUUGGUGGUUUCUUUGGUUUUCUAUCAGCAUAAAAGAACUUGAGCUAGCUUAAAAAAAAAAAGGAUGUAAGGAUACGGAAGGUGUUAUGGAGGGACUGAAUCAAAUGGCCUCGGAAAGAGUAGAAACAUGUCAGUCAUGGGACCUCAAAGGGCAAUUGAUUCUGGGAACUUUCUCUUGAGACAUACGAUUAGUUAGCUCAGCUCCCAGUAUUUCUCUGUUAAAAUAAAGACAUUCCUUAAAAAGAGAACCUGAUUGGCCUAACUUGGGUCUCACCCAAGAUAGUGUCCAAAGAAGCAGGAUGAUAAAACUCACACAUGGCCACUGAGGGACCUUUCCUGGGCUGAGGGGAAGUUUCCAAGGAAGGGAAAAGUGUGAGUUAGAUAGACACCCCAAAAUAUGUCACGUACAAUGGUGGAAUAGUAAGGGUUCUCAUUCUUUGCAAACACUGAUCCCAUUUAAGAGGGACAAAUGCUGGCACGAUGACAAUUUCAG
Microcebus murinus (gray mouse lemur) is the source of this 2435-nucleotide non-coding RNA. The record is from RefSeq and is a predicted model, not a curated record. NCBI's taxonomy places the organism in Eukaryota, Metazoa, Chordata, Mammalia, Primates, Cheirogaleidae.